Molecule: long non-coding RNA, 558 nt
Filed under: Rattus norvegicus (Norway rat)
Lineage: Eukaryota; Metazoa; Chordata; Mammalia; Rodentia; Muridae
Description: long non-coding RNA NONRATT007922
Source: RNAcentral
UGGAAGAGUAGGAGUUUAAUCUAAUUUAGUUGGAGGGUGUCUGUCUGCGGUGUUGUUUUUUGGAGUGUGGGAACAGAGGAGGGGAGCUGCCCCCUUGAAUGGUCCCUUCUGCGCCAGAAGCAGUGGGGAGCCGCGCGACGCCAGCGAUCCAAGGCCCGGCCUUGAAAGAGGAUUAAAGCGAUGCUUGAUUUGCAAUUCACACGAAAGCGCCCCGCGAACCUCUGGUAAUAUUUCAAUCCACAUUUCAAGGGAAGUGGCCUUAAAAUAGCGGCCUAAAUUGUUCUGCCGCGGCCCGGACACUCCUUCAUGCAUUUUAUAACGCAGAGGGCCGAGGGCCUUUUCUCUCUGCACCUCACCACCCCCAUCCACCCAGUAUCUUACAUGUUCUGAAGUGGACUUAAAAACUUGUCCUUAAGUUUGGGGCAGCCUGCACUUCUCUGUGGUAUGGGAUGAGGUGUGUGUGUUUAUGCUUGGAGCAUAUAUGUUUGUGCGUGUUAACUAAAUAUCACUUUGGAUGACUUUCGUGUAUCUCCUAUAAAGGAAAAAAAAAAAAAAAAA